This 87-nucleotide transfer RNA is filed under the name Planctomycetaceae bacterium. RNAcentral describes it as "tRNA-Ser". It matches the Rfam family "tRNA". From Rfam's summary of the family: Transfer RNA (tRNA) molecules are approximately 80 nucleotides in length. Their secondary structure includes four short double-helical elements and three loops (D, anti-codon, and T loops). Further hydrogen bonds mediate the characteristic L-shaped molecular structure. tRNAs have two regions of fundamental functional importance: the anti-codon, which is responsible for specific mRNA codon recognition, and the 3' end, to which the tRNAs corresponding amino acid is attached (by aminoacyl-tRNA synthetases). tRNAs cope with the degeneracy of the genetic code in two manners: having more than one tRNA (with a specific anti-codon) for a particular amino acid; and 'wobble' base-pairing, i.e. permitting non-standard base-pairing at the 3rd anti-codon position. Lineage: Bacteria; Pseudomonadati; Planctomycetota; Planctomycetia; Planctomycetales; Planctomycetaceae. The record is from RNAcentral.
GGAGAGGUGGCAGAGUGGCCGAUUGCACCGGUCUUGAAAACCGGAGUGCCCGCAAGGGUACCGCGAGUUCGAAUCUCGCCCUCUCCG